UACGUAGGGGGCAAGCGUUGUCCGGAAUUAUUGGGCGUAAAGCGCGCGCAGGCGGUUCGUUAAGUCUGAUGGUAAAGCCCGGGGCUCAACCCCGGUAUUCAUUGGAAACUGGCGAACUGGAGUGCAGGAGAGGGAAGCGGAAUUCCACGUGUAGCGGUGAAAUGCGUAGAGAUGUGGAGGAACACCAGUGGCGAAGGCGGCUUCCUGGCCUGUAACUGACGCUGAGGCGCGAAAGCGUGGGGAGCAAACA
RNAcentral lists this ribosomal RNA (250 nucleotides) under uncultured bacterium. Its description in RNAcentral is "partial 16S ribosomal RNA". It matches the Rfam family "Bacterial small subunit ribosomal RNA", at positions 524 to 774 of the family's 1533-position model. The record is from RNAcentral.